ACAAUUUUAUUUGAAAUAAUCAUAAUUAAUUUUCAGUUUAAUAUCUGAUAUAUGGGCCAAUUGUUCACACGAUAUUAAAUUUAUUUUUUGAGGUGGAGAGUCCACCACAAUAGCUUGCUAUUGGGUCUCUCAAGUGUCGCCUUUGCGAUGCACUGUUGCAUUUACCUCGCGCGCCCCAC
Molecule: small nuclear RNA, 179 nt
Filed under: Medicago truncatula (barrel medic)
Lineage: Eukaryota; Viridiplantae; Streptophyta; Magnoliopsida; Fabales; Fabaceae
Description: U2 spliceosomal RNA
Rfam family: U2 spliceosomal RNA
About the family: U2 is a small nuclear RNA (snRNA) component of the spliceosome (involved in pre-mRNA splicing). Complementary binding between U2 snRNA (in an area lying towards the 5' end but 3' to hairpin I) and the branchpoint sequence (BPS) of the intron results the bulging out of an unpaired adenosine, on the BPS, which initiates a nucleophilic attack at the intronic 5' splice site, thus starting the first of two transesterification reactions that mediate splicing.
Source: Rfam by way of RNAcentral